Long non-coding RNA from Rosa rugosa (rugosa rose), 626 nucleotides. RefSeq lists it as uncharacterized. The transcript has 2 exons. The record is from RefSeq and is a predicted model, not a curated record. Lineage: Eukaryota; Viridiplantae; Streptophyta; Magnoliopsida; Rosales; Rosaceae.
GAAUUAAAAAGCGCGCCUCCUAAGGCUCAAAAAGCGGAUUUCCGGCCUGAAACUGAGUGUGUUUCACUGGUUAGGCGACGAGGCUGCUGAGGCGUCCUUCAAGGCGCUCAAGGCGUUAAAGGCGUACGCUCUGGAAAAGAAGAAAAAUGACGUCGUUUUGGUCUUUUGGAACAGAAUGGGUUUAAAGGUCGCGACUGAAGGUGUUUGGACUUUGGACAGCCGAUUUCAGCCCUCUCUCUUCCAAAAGGUACCAAAUUCGAUCCCUAACCCAAAGUUCGAGUUAGGAGCUCGAUUUCGAUUCGCAGCAAUCAAUUUGAAGGUGUCGGAGCUCGAUUCGCAGCAGGCCAUUUGAAGGUAUUGGAGCUUGAUUCGCAACAUGCCAUUUGAAGAGAAUUUUCAGGGAUGAUAGUGAUGGUAGUAAUAGUUUGGAUGGUGAUCUCCUAGUUGAUGAGGAUGAUGAUUUCCAAGCAUGAAGUAAAUUUCAACAAUUGUUCUUUAUCUUUGGUCUUUCAACUUUAGAUCUUUGAUUUCAUUUUAUGUUGGUGAUUUUGUUGAAUCAUAUGGUUCUAGUACUUUAUUUAUUAUGAGUGAAAAACAAUUAAUAAUGUUCUUUUGGUUGCUCUUAA